UAUAAUUUAAAUUUAUAAGAUAAAUUCAAAUUAGAUAUGAUAUUAUGGAUUAAAUUUAUGAGAUAAAUUUAAUUAAAUCUUUGUGAGCUUUUAACUGGAAGACAAAACCCUUAUAUAUAUAGAUAGGGACGUCCUUAUGAAGGUAGAGAGAGAGAGAGAGUUAGAAAAUUUCUAACGAUAAAAACACUCUGAGAGCCACGAAACACCCUAUAGAAAGGAAAAUUAGAGUUCAAAGAAGAACGGACGCUGAGAACGCUAGCAUGCUGUUCAAGUUAGAGAGCUGUUCGUGUGGAUACCAGUAGGGGGAGCAGAUCUACGUUGUCAACUCUUGAAAUCCAAACAUGCAUCAACUUCAAAGAAUUAAAAAGAGUAAUCUCUACGCCUGGACUAGGACUUUCAGCCACAACGAACAGGGCCCACUAUACCACUGCUCAGACUGGGUCAUUCUCUUUUCGUAUGGAUUGUGGUAUGGGAAGAUUUUGCCUUGAUACAUGAAGAGAUUUAAUACCACGGGUAACCCUUUUAGUAACAAAAGAGUUGAGGUUCUACCGCUGAGACUGAGCAAGGGAAGGAAUCGGGCAAGGGCUCAUAUACUUGCUACAUUAUUAUUGUAAAGCCUAAUUUUAUUUUGAGUUGUGUACAUAAAAUUAUAUGGAUGAUAUUAUAUGUUACUAGCUAGGAAUGCAUAUCAUUUUAAUUGGUUGCACUUAUUUCAUACUAUGUUAUUUUGUAUUUUAGCCUAAUAUUAUAUAUAAUGUGAAUAUGUGGCAAUUUUUAUGAUCAUGGGCUAAAAUACUAAUACAAGUUCAAGGAAUGUUUUAUCUAUAUGAUAACAAUGUAUAUGUAGUGUAUUAUAUGGCAAUAGAGGCCAAAUAGUGUAUAUAGUAUUGAUUUAGUAUU
Prosopis cineraria is the source of this 900-nucleotide long non-coding RNA. RefSeq lists it as uncharacterized. The record is from RefSeq and is a predicted model, not a curated record. The transcript has 4 exons. Lineage: Eukaryota; Viridiplantae; Streptophyta; Magnoliopsida; Fabales; Fabaceae.